GCGGGUCGGACCCGACCCAACCCCAAUUGACAAAAAUAACUAACACGCUAGAAACCCUAAAUCAAAACAAAAUCGUCGCCCCCUUUUGAACUUUUCCCUUCAAACGAUCGCUCAAAACCAAAUGAACAAUGAAGCUCCAACAAUGGCGGGUGCGCUCCCUCACAAAUAAAAAAAACCAAAUCAAACAUUCCUUAACCCAAACAAACAGAUCGACCACGAUUCAGAAGGCGACGGUGGCCAUCCAACCGCAUCGUUUCCCUCACGAAAGAGACGGUGGUCACCCAUAAAGGAGACAACGUCACCCAACCACAACACCUCUCUCUCUCUCUCUCUCUCUCCCUCCAUCACAGAUACAUAGUGCCUCCCUCUCUCACGGAUUCAUAGCACCUCCCCACGAAGGUGGCGAUGGCCAACCACCAGUGACUUCGUGAUUCCUUCCACUUACAAGAAGCCAACAUACCGGGAACGACAGUUUUUUGAAGAUCCAAGCAUAUUUAGGAGAGCAACUUAAACAGGUUCUGAAGAUUAAAACUUGUUUUUUUUUUAAAUAAGGCAUCGAGUAUUGAUUUGAGAACUACUCAUUUGGUUUCGGCAAACAAACAUUUCAGUUCAACAAUAGCCAGUCUCCGCCAUAUGAAAUACGAUUCGACAAUGUAUAUAAAAAGGUGAAAUGGAAAUACCCCAUAAAUAACGGUCUUGCGCGAUUCAGAUAGAGGCGUGCGGAUCCUUCUGGACGCGUUAGUAUGAGCGGUGUCUCCUGAAAUGUUUUCAUCUUAGAGAACAUAUCCUCGCACUUGCUUGUCCAUUCAAACUUAUCCUGCUUUUUUCAGAGGGGCAUGACACACCACAAGCGUACAACAAUAUCGAAGUAAUAAAAUUAUUAUCGUCCAUAAAGACCUAUUUGAGUAACGAGUUCUAUUAUUUCUAUAUUUAUCUAAGACGAUCAAUUGGAGUAGUUUUGAGAACAAUUUUGAUUGAUUUUUUUAGUUAAAGUAUAAUUUAUAAAGAAA
Molecule: long non-coding RNA, 1010 nt
Organism: Lathyrus oleraceus (garden pea)
Lineage: Eukaryota; Viridiplantae; Streptophyta; Magnoliopsida; Fabales; Fabaceae
Exons: 2
Source: RefSeq, a predicted model, not a curated record